Molecule: ribosomal RNA, 717 nt
Filed under: uncultured Ralstonia sp.
Lineage: Bacteria; Pseudomonadati; Pseudomonadota; Betaproteobacteria; Burkholderiales; Burkholderiaceae
Description: bacterial SSU rRNA
Rfam family: Bacterial small subunit ribosomal RNA
Source: RNAcentral
GAGUUUGAUCCUGGCUCAGAUUGAACGCUGGCGGCAUGCCUUACACAUGCAAGUCGAACGGCAGCAUGAUCUAGCUUGCUAGAUUGAUGGCGAGUGGCGAACGGGUGAGUAAUACAUCGGAACGUGCCCUGUAGUGGGGGAUAACUAGUCGAAAGAUUAGCUAAUACCGCAUACGACCUGAGGGUGAAAGUGGGGGACCGCAAGGCCUCAUGCUAUAGGAGCGGCCGAUGUCUGAUUAGCUAGUUGGUGGGGUAAAGGCCCACCAAGGCGACGAUCAGUAGCUGGUCUGAGAGGACGAUCAGCCACACUGGGACUGAGACACGGCCCAGACUCCUACGGGAGGCAGCAGUGGGGAAUUUUGGACAAUGGGCGAAAGCCUGAUCCAGCAAUGCCGCGUGUGUGAAGAAGGCCUUCGGGUUGUAAAGCACUUUUGUCCGGAAAGAAAUGGCUCUGGUUAAUACCUGGGGUCGAUGACGGUACCGGAAGAAUAAGGACCGGCUAACUACGUGCCAGCAGCCGCGGUAAUACGUAGGGUCCAAGCGUUAAUCGGAAUUACUGGGCGUAAAGCGUGCGCAGGCGGUUGUGCAAGACCGAUGUGAAAUCCCCGAGCUUAACUUGGGAAUUGCAUUGGUGACUGCACGGCUAGAGUGUGUCAGAGGGGGGUAGAAUUCCACGUGUAGCAGUGAAAUGCGUAGAGAUGUGGAGGAAUACCGAUGG